CUGUGGCUGCGUGACCCGUCAGGAAUCUUAUCCCCGGGGCCUUACGCAUUCCUUAGGGAGCUGUCCCUGCUCUGGGCCGUGGUCCGUUGCAUACGGCGCCCACCUACAUUGUAGGUUCUCCGGGAUUGCACAUUCCAACGAUCACGCGGCUACACU
This 156-nucleotide non-coding RNA is filed under the name Roseibium sp. TrichSKD4. RNAcentral's name for it is "6S / SsrS RNA". It matches the Rfam family "6S / SsrS RNA". Rfam says of the family: E. coli 6S RNA was the first non coding RNA to be sequenced, but its function was unknown until recently. It consists of 184 nucleotides that fold into an extended hairpin structure with a large single-stranded internal bulge. Lineage: Bacteria; Pseudomonadati; Pseudomonadota; Alphaproteobacteria; Hyphomicrobiales; Stappiaceae. The record is from Rfam by way of RNAcentral.